AGCAGCCGCGGUAAUUCCAGCUCCAAUAGCGUAUAUUAAAGUUGCUGCAGUUAAAAAGCUCGUAGUUGAAUUUCGGGACUAAUAUGUCGGUCGUGCCUCGGUACGUACUGGCUUAUUGGUUUCUCCUUUCUGAAGAACCAUGAUGUCAUUUAUUUGGUGUCUUGGGGAAUCAGGACUGUUACUUUGAAAAAAUUAGAGUGUUUAAAGCAGGCUCACGCUUGAAUACAUUAGCAUGGAAUAAUGAAAUAGGACGUUUGAUUCUAUUUUGUUGGUUUCUAGGAUCGACGUAAUGAUUAAUAGGGAUAGUUGGGGGCAUUAGUAUUCAAUUGUCAGAGGUGAAAUUCUUGGAUUUAUUGAAGACUAACUACUGCGAAAGCAUUUGCCAAGGAUGUUUUCAUUAAUCAAGAACGAAAGUUAGGGGAUCGAAGACGAUCAGAUACCGUCGUAGUCUUAACCAUAAACUAUGCCGACUAGGGAUCGGAUGAUGUUAAUUUUUUAAUGACUCAUUCGGCGCCUUACG
RNAcentral lists this ribosomal RNA (520 nucleotides) under uncultured Glomeraceae. RNAcentral describes it as "SSU rRNA". It matches the Rfam family "Eukaryotic small subunit ribosomal RNA", at positions 569 to 1092 of the family's 1831-position model. The record is from RNAcentral. Lineage: Eukaryota; Fungi; Glomeromycota; Glomeromycetes; Glomerales; Glomeraceae.